GUGCAAGGGUUAAUCGGAAUUAUUGGGCGUAAAGCGCACGCAGGCGGUUUGUUAAGUCAAAUGGAAAUCCCCGGGUUCACCCUGGGAAGUGCAUAUGAUACUGGCAGACUAGAGGCCGUAGAGGGGGGUAGAAUUCCAGGUGUAGCGGUGAAAUGCGUAGAGAUGUGGAGGAAUACCGGUGGCGAAGGCGGCCCCCUGGACGAAGACUCCGCUCAGGUGGAAAGCGUGGAGAGCAAACAGGAUUAGAUACCGUGGUAGUCCUCCCGGUAAACGAUGUAGGACUUGGGAGUGAUUGUGCUUCAUUGGGAAA
Molecule: ribosomal RNA, 310 nt
Filed under: Escherichia coli
Lineage: Bacteria; Pseudomonadati; Pseudomonadota; Gammaproteobacteria; Enterobacterales; Enterobacteriaceae
Description: bacterial SSU rRNA
Rfam family: Bacterial small subunit ribosomal RNA
Source: RNAcentral